Camelus ferus (Wild Bactrian camel) is the source of this 73-nucleotide transfer RNA. It matches the Rfam family "tRNA". Rfam says of the family: Transfer RNA (tRNA) molecules are approximately 80 nucleotides in length. The record is from Rfam. Lineage: Eukaryota; Metazoa; Chordata; Mammalia; Artiodactyla; Camelidae.
GAGGGUAUAGCUCAAGCGGUAGAGCUUAUGCUUAGCAUGCAUGAGGUCCUGGGUUCAAUCCCCAGUACCUCCU